CAGUCGCCGCGGUAAUACGAAGGGUGUGAGCGUUAAUCGGAAUUACUGGGCGUAAAGCGUGCGCAGGCGGUUAUGCAAGACAGAUGUGAAAUCCCCGGGCUUAACCUGGAAACUGCAUUUGUGACUGCAUGGCUAGAGUGCGGCAGAGGGGGAUGGAAUUCCGCGUGUAGCAGUGAAAUGCGUAGAUAUGCGGAGGAACACCGAUGGCGAAGGCAAUCCCCUGGGCCUGCACUGACGCUCAUGCACGAAAGCAUGGGGAGCAAACAGGAUUAGAGACCCCUGUAGUCCCUGUCUCUUAUAC
This 301-nucleotide ribosomal RNA is filed under the name uncultured bacterium. RNAcentral's name for it is "partial 16S ribosomal RNA". It matches the Rfam family "Bacterial small subunit ribosomal RNA", at positions 509 to 807 of the family's 1533-position model. The record is from RNAcentral.